UACCUGGUUGAUCCUGCCAGUAGUCAUAUGCUUGUCUCAAAGUUAAGCCAUGGAACUAAUUCUGACUGAAAUA
RNAcentral lists this ribosomal RNA (73 nucleotides) under Eucalyptus diversicolor. Its description in RNAcentral is "partial 18S ribosomal RNA". Lineage: Eukaryota; Viridiplantae; Streptophyta; Magnoliopsida; Myrtales; Myrtaceae. The record is from RNAcentral.